AUUGAACGCUGGCGGCAUGCCUUACACAUGCAAGUCGAACGGUAACAGGUCUUCGGAUGCUGACGAGUGGCGAACGGGUGAGUAAUACAUCGGAACGUGCCCGAUCGUGGGGGAUAACGCAGCGAAAGCUGUGCUAAUACCGCAUACGAUCUACGGAUGAAAGCGGGGGAUCGCAAGACCUCGCGCGGACGGAGCGGCCGAUGGCAGAUUAGGUAGUUGGUGGGAUAAAAGCUUACCAAGCCGACGAUCUGUAGCUGGUCUGAGAGGACGACCAGCCACACUGGGACUGAGACACGGCCCAGACUCCUACGGGAGGCAGCAGUGGGGAAUUUUGGACAAUGGGGGAAACCCUGAUCCAGCCAUGCCGCGUGCAGGAUGAAGGCCUUCGGGUUGUAAACUGCUUUUGUACGGAACGAAAAGGUCCUUUCUAAUAAAGAGGGCUCAUGACGGUACCGUAAGAAUAAGCACCGGCCUAACCUACGUG
RNAcentral lists this ribosomal RNA (484 nucleotides) under uncultured bacterium. Its description in RNAcentral is "bacterial SSU rRNA". It matches the Rfam family "Bacterial small subunit ribosomal RNA", at positions 30 to 507 of the family's 1533-position model. The record is from RNAcentral.